GAUGAAGAACGUAGCAAAAUGCGAUAAGUAAUGUGAAUUGCAGAAUUCAGUGAAUCAUCGAAUCUUUGAACGCACCUUGCGCUCCUUGGUAUUCCGAGGAGCAUGCCUGUUUGAGUGUCAUUAAUAUAUCAACCUUCUCUUUUUUGAGUUGUUUGGAUGUGGGGGUUUGCUGGCCUCUUAAAUGAUUCAGCUCCCCUGAAAUGCAUUAGCAGAACAACCUGUUCAUUAGCGUGAUAAUUAUCUAUGCUAUUGAAUGUGAGGGCAGUUCAGCUUUCUAACCGUCCUUGGACAAUUCAUCAUUAAUGUGACCUCAAAUCAGGUAGGACUACCCGCUGAACUUAAGCAUAUCAAUAAGCGGAGGA
This 362-nucleotide unclassified non-coding RNA is filed under the name soil metagenome. RNAcentral's name for it is "partial contains 5.8S ribosomal RNA, internal transcribed spacer 2, and large subunit ribosomal RNA". The stretch from base 1 to 120 matches the Rfam family "5.8S ribosomal RNA", at positions 35 to 154 of the family's 154-position model. The record is from RNAcentral.